RNAcentral lists this ribosomal RNA (468 nucleotides) under uncultured bacterium. RNAcentral's name for it is "partial 16S ribosomal RNA". It matches the Rfam family "Bacterial small subunit ribosomal RNA", at positions 28 to 507 of the family's 1533-position model. The record is from RNAcentral.
GACGAACGCUGGCGGCGUGCUUAACACAUGCAAGUCGAACGGAAAGGCCCUGCUUUUGUGGGGUGCUCGAGUGGCGAACGGGUGAGUAACACGUGAGUAACCUGCCCUUGACUUUGGGAUAACUUCAGGUAACUGGGGCUAAUACCGGAUAGGAGCUCCUGCGGCACGGUGGGGGUUGGAAAGUUUCGGCGGUUGGGGAUGGACUCGCGGCUUAUCAGCUUGUUGGUGGGGUAGUGGCUUACCAAGGCUUUGACGGGUAGCCGGCCUGAGAGGGUGACCGGCCACAUUGGGACUAAGAUACGGCCCAGACUGCUACGGGGGGCAGCAGUGGGGAAUAUUGCCCAAUGGGCGGAAGCCUGAUGCAGCGACGCCGCGUGCGGGAUGACGGCCUUCGGGUUGUAAACCGCUUUCGCCUGUGACGAAGCGUGAGUGACGGUAAUGGGUAAAGAAGCACCGGCUAACUACGUG